RNAcentral lists this ribosomal RNA (236 nucleotides) under uncultured bacterium. RNAcentral describes it as "partial 16S ribosomal RNA". It matches the Rfam family "Bacterial small subunit ribosomal RNA", at positions 100 to 334 of the family's 1533-position model. The record is from RNAcentral.
CGGCACGGGUGAGUAACGCGUAUCCAACCUGCCUUACACUCUUGGACAGCCUUCUGAAAGGGAGAUUAAUACAAGAUGGCAUCAUGAGUCCACAUGUUCACAUGAUUAAAGGUAUUCCGGUAGACGAUGGGGAUGCGUUCCAUUAGAUAGUAGGCGGGGUAACGGCCCACCUAGUCUUCGAUGGAUAGGGGUUCUGAGAGGAAGGUCCCCCACAUUGGAACUGAGACACGGUCCAA